GGGAUAGGUUGUGGCUCAAUGCUAGAGCUUCUGUUUUACAUACAGAGGGUCCCGGGUUCAAACCCUGGCAUCCCCA
This 76-nucleotide transfer RNA is filed under the name Sphaerodactylus townsendi. Its description in RNAcentral is "tRNA-Val". It matches the Rfam family "tRNA". Rfam says of the family: Transfer RNA (tRNA) molecules are approximately 80 nucleotides in length. Their secondary structure includes four short double-helical elements and three loops (D, anti-codon, and T loops). Lineage: Eukaryota; Metazoa; Chordata; Lepidosauria; Squamata; Sphaerodactylidae. The record is from RNAcentral.